This is a non-coding RNA of Monodelphis domestica (gray short-tailed opossum), 1875 nucleotides long. The record is from RefSeq and is a predicted model, not a curated record. Lineage: Eukaryota; Metazoa; Chordata; Mammalia; Didelphimorphia; Didelphidae.
UACAUAGUUCCUUAAGGUUUCCAAAGCACUUUAUGUGCAAUAUCAUUUGCUAAUAUUAAUAAUCUACUUAUGUGAAACUUGAAAGUUUAUAAGGUGUUUUACAUAUUAUUAUUAUUAUUAAUAAUCAUUUGCAUAGUAACUUAAAGUUUCCAAACACUUUACAUGUGAACUCUUUAGUUAAUAACAAUGGCAUUUAUGUAGAGCUUUAAAGCCUUUUCAUGUGAUGCCUCAUUGCUCAAUAAUAACAAAAGCACUAACGGUGAUAUUAACACUAACAUGAAGAAGAAGAGGAUCAAGGCUGGCUGGGGUCACAUUUUGAGUCUUGUCUCAGAUUCAUCCUGGUCAUAUGACCCCGGGCAAGUCACGAGAUCCAGGCACUUUUCUAAGACUUGAUAUAACAUAGCAAAGGGAGUUUACUCACUGGGAGUUUCCUAGAGAAAGGAAAUCACAGGUUGGAUGGGUCCAACAAAAACAACAACAAAAAAAGAAUUGAAAUUUACACAUUAUGUUAAGGUUUAUAAUGCAUUUUAUUUAUAUAUACUCUCAUUUGAAUUUUGCAAUAGCACUCAAAGGUAGUUACUAUAGGUAUUGUAUCCCCAUUAAAAGAAAACAAAAUAAUGCUUACCUUUAGUCUUAGAAUCAAUACUGGUUAUCAGUUCCAAGGCAGAAGAGAGGUAAGGGCUAAACAGUUGGCGUUAAAUGACUUGUCCAGGGUCACAUAAUUAGGAAGCAUCUGAGGUCAAAUUUGAACCCAGUAACUCCUGUUUCCAAGCCAAGCUCUCUGUCCACUGAGCUACCUAACAAUCUUAUCUCCAUUUCACAGAUGAGGGAAUUGAGGUCUCAGAGGGGUGACAGACCUGCCAUUGCCUCCACAGCUUGAACUUAUCAGAAUUGGGAUUCAAAUCUGGAUUGGGAAGAUUGGAGAUCUAGCUCAAGGCCAUGCUACCUACAUGAGUUGAAUGUGUCUUCCAUUUUACAGCCAAAAUGAUCUCUCAAUAUCUCUAACAAAUAAAUAAUACAGGAAUACCUGAGAUAUUUGAAGCUAACUGGGUCAAGUGCUCAGUGGUUCAGUGAAGACAAUGAGCCUGUCUGGGCAGGUGUUGGACUGGAUGACCUGUACCUGGCCCUGGAGAAAUGCUUAUUGACUGGUUGAAUGAUGGGUGAUUGUGUCAUUUUUUGUGACCAGAGGACAAGACCAAACCCAAAUCCCACCAUGCCCUGAUGACUGCCCCUUUGGACGAGCAUCUUUCCACUUAGGAUUGUGAACAUGGGCAGGAUGGAGCGUAUGGAGGACACUUCAUGUGAAAAAAACCUGAGACCUUUGAUGGACUUCAAGGCUGUUCCUUGGACAAUCAACACCAGGCACAUCCCUGACCCUAUACUUGAAGACUUUCCAAAUUGGUAGACUCUAACAGAGCUUUGGAGAACCCCAGCAUCACCUCCAUGCCAUGACGGAGCAUCAGAAGAUAAAGUGAAGGAAGAAAAUGAUAUUAAAUAAUAUACACACUUGAGGUGUGUGCUGGACUUUGAGUAACUCCUUUUGGGAAUAAUUGACAAGAUGCUGUUUGAUGUCUUCAGGAAUUAUCUUGUUUUCAGGAAAUUUGUUUCAACUUCUUGUUCCUUCACCCAAUUAUUUUGAUCCAAUCUAGAGAAGAGGGUGACCUGGUGAGUUCAGGACAAGGAAAGUUUUGUAAUUCCAGGCUGGGGUUAGAGAGGGAAAGGCAGGGAUGUGCUGACAAAUGUUUCACAACUGACUCUCUGGGGGAAAUACUGAUGCACUUUUCAUUUUAAUCUGAAUUAUGGAUGAAACAUUUCAUUUUUCUCCAUCAUUUUCUUAAGUCUGGACCAUCAAUAAAAUAGUAAAUCAAGCCUUGA